RNAcentral lists this ribosomal RNA (468 nucleotides) under uncultured bacterium. Its description in RNAcentral is "partial 16S ribosomal RNA". It matches the Rfam family "Bacterial small subunit ribosomal RNA", at positions 28 to 507 of the family's 1533-position model. The record is from RNAcentral.
GACGAGCGCUGGCGGCGUGCUUAACACAUGCAAGUCGAACGGAAAGGCCCUGCUUUUGUGGGGUGCUCGAGUGGCGAACGGGUGAGUAACACGUGAGUAACCUGCCCUUGACUUUGGGAUAACUUCAGGAAACUGGGGCUAAUACCGGAUAGGAGCUCCUGCUGCAUGGUGGGGGUUGGAAAGUUUCGGCGGUUGGGGAUGGACUCGCGGCUUAUCAGCUUGUUGGUGGGGUAGUGGCUUACCAAGGCUUUGACGGGUAGCCGGCCUGAGAGGGUGACCGGCCACAUUGGGACUGAGAUACGGCCCAGACUCCUACGGGAGGCAGCAGUGGGGAAUAUUGCACAAUGGGCGGAAGCCUGAUGCAGCAACGCCGUGUGCGGGAUGACGGCCUUCGGGUUGUAAACCGCUUUCGCCUGUGACGAAGCGUGAGUGACGGUAAUGGGUAAAGAAGCACCGGCUAACUACGUG